This 387-nucleotide ribosomal RNA is filed under the name Triticum aestivum (bread wheat). Its description in RNAcentral is "partial small subunit ribosomal RNA". Lineage: Eukaryota; Viridiplantae; Streptophyta; Magnoliopsida; Poales; Poaceae. The record is from RNAcentral.
AUGGUGGUCGUCGAUGCGGUGGUCGUCGACGCGGGGUCCAAGCUGGGCAUGGCGCUGCCCGACCAAGCCCCCGGGCUGGUGAUGCCCUUGAAGAUGAAGACGGAGGUGGCUACGGUUCAAACAUGCACGCGAGCGUCAAAUAGGAACCACCCAGUGGCAGCACCGGCAGAGGAGGAGGUGCCCUCGAGGAGGAGGGGAUGCUGCCGGAGGAGGGAGGAGGGGAUGCUGCGGAGCGGGAGCGGGUGGCAGGGCUGCAGGCGCGCGAGGACUACCGCCUCCCGCCUAGGCGCUUCGCCGGCGCCGUCAGGGCCUCCGAGGACUUUGUGCACUCGCUGGGCAUCCAGAAGAGGAGGCUGCGGAAGCACAAGGGUGCUGUCAACACCAUAA